AAGAAAAAAAGAAAAAAGAGAGGAGUCUACGGCUUUACACAACAGAAAAUUGUAGGGGUGAAACCCUAGCUUCAGGUAUGGCUUGAUCCAGGGGCUCAAACAAGGUCUCCUGACAUUGUCUUCUUUCCCCUGCUCUAUCUCUAGGUUCUGCUAAGUGAAAGAACAAAUUCUAGAAGAAUUUGUUUUACGAGGAGUCAUUAUAAAAUUUUCCUAAGAAAUUGAACAAGCAGGUUUUUUUUUUUUUUAAGAAAUAGACACACCUAUAUUAACAUCAUGGAGGAUGGGCUAGGGGACCAGGGCUACAUUUUGCCUUUUCUGACUAUAGCAUUUCACCUCAUGCUGUACAGGAGGCCUCACCAUCUGUCAUAACAUGCUGUUCUCAGGAUGAGGGGUGGUUAUAAUGUGAUGGGGAAGAAAGUUUGGACCCGGGGACCAGGAUGCUGAGUUUUACUCUGGCAUUUGUACAACGUCUCUGACUUCAGGUGGGAGAGCCUUCAUGUUCCUUUCUGUAAUGGGGGAGAAAACUGUCUAUUGGUUUCUUGACUGGGCAGUUGUGAAGAAAUAACUUGAACAGGUGCCUGGAGGGUGGCAGGUGCUCCCCAGUGUCUCCUCUCUCCCUGACACCUGUGUCCUUCAAAGUGCUCUUGGUCCCUUUGGAGCCACCUCUUGUCCAUCUGGUUGGCCUUCAGUUCAACCCCUUGCUCCGGAGCAAUUGGCCCCUGGUGGUUUAACUGGCUAGGACUAUAUUUUUCCCACACUAGGAAAUGUCUGCGGUGAGGCAGCUUGUGCUGAGGGGGCAGCUUCUGUCCCAGGCUCUUUCUGCUUUCCUGCUCCGCUGUCUUCAACAUGUGGCUUCAUCCUUAGGUUUACAAGGAGUUCCCGUCGUGGCUCAGUGGUUAACAAAUCCGACUAGAAACCAUGAGGUUGUGGGUUCGAUCCCUUGCCUCACCCAGGGGGUUAAGGAUUUGGCGUUGCCGUGAGCUAUGGUGUAGGUCAUGGACUCGGCUCUGAUCCCGCGUUGCUGUGGCUCUGGUGUAGGCCGGUGGGUAGAGCUCUGAUUCGACCCCUAGCCUGGGAACCUCCAUAUGCUGCGGGUGCAGCCC
RNAcentral lists this long non-coding RNA (1103 nucleotides) under Sus scrofa (pig). RNAcentral's name for it is "lncRNA (ENSSSCG00015074106.1)". The record is from RNAcentral. Lineage: Eukaryota; Metazoa; Chordata; Mammalia; Artiodactyla; Suidae.